UGAGUACGAGAUGCUACGGCGUCGAAGCAGUCUAGGUCAUACUUCCAAGAAAAGCUAGCACUGUCAGAAACAAAGAAUGCCUGUACCAUAACCGACACAGGUGGGUAGGUAGAGUAUACUAAGGGGCGCGAGAUAACUCUCUCUAAGGAACUCGGCAAAAUGACUCCGUAACUUCGGGAGAAGGAGUGCCUUAUUUUUAAGGUUGCAAUAACAAGAUCCAAGCAACUGUUUACCAAAAACACAGGUCUCCGCUAAGUCGUAAGACGAUGUAUGGGGGCUGACGCCUGCCCAGUGCCAGAAGGUUAAAGAAGUUGGUUAGCAUUCGCGAAGCUGAUAACUGAAGCCCUGGUGAACGGCGGCCGUAACGAUAACGGUCCUAAGGUAGCGAAAUUCCUUGUCGGGUAAGUUCCGACCCGCACGAAAGGCGUAAUGAUUUGGAUACUGUCUCGGAGAGGGGCUCGGUGAAAUAGACUUGUCUGUGAAGAUGCGGACUACCUGCACCUGGACAGAAAGACCCUAUGAAGCUUUACUGUAACUUGAGAUUGAAAUUGGACUUUAUUUGCGCAGUAUAGGUGGGAGGCGUUGAGAAUAAUCUUGCGGGAUUAUGGGAGCCAUCAGUGAGAUACCACUCUUGUAAUGUUAGAUUUCUAACUUUGGAUCAUUAUCUGGUCAAAGAACAGUUUCAGGCGGGCAGUUUGACUGGGGCGGUCGCCUCCCAAAGGGUAACGGAGGCGCACAAAGGUUUCCUCUGAACGGGUAGAAAUCGUAUCUAGAGUGUAAAGGCAUAAGGAAGCUUGACUGUGAGACCUACAAGUCGAGCAGGGACGAAAGUCGGUCUUAGUGAUCUGACGGUGCUGAGUGGAAAGGCCGUCACUCAACGGAUAAAAGUUACUCUAGGAUAACAGGCUGAUCUCCCCCAAGAGUUCACAUCGACGGGGAGGUUUGGCACCUCGAUGUCGGCUCAUCGCAUCCUGGGGCGGUAGUACGUCCCAAGGGUCGGGCUGUUCGCCCAUGAAAGCGGUACGCGAGCUGGGUUCGGAACGUCGUGAGACAGUUCGGUCCAUAUCCGGUGUAGGCGUUAGAAUAUUGAAAGGAGCCUUCUCUAGUACGAGAGGACCGAGAAGGACAUACCUCUGGUGUACCAGUUAUCGUGCCAACGGUAAACGCUGGGUAGCUAUGUGUGGAGUGGAUAACCGCUGAAAGCAUCUAAGUGGGAAGCCCACCUUAAGAUAAGUAUUCUCA
This 1242-nucleotide ribosomal RNA is filed under the name metagenome. RNAcentral describes it as "bacterial LSU rRNA". It matches the Rfam family "Bacterial large subunit ribosomal RNA", at positions 1564 to 2816 of the family's 2925-position model. The record is from RNAcentral.